CUUAGAGUUUGAUCCUAGCUCAGGAUGAACGCUGGCGACGUGGAUAAGGCAUGCAAGUCGAACGCCCACAUCACCCGCAGGGUGAUGCAGGAAAACACAAAACACAAAUGACACCGAACUUCAAAAAGAUGCAUACCGCAUUAUUUGGAGUUCUGUGCUUUGGGACUUUGUGCUUUCCCGCAUCGCGCUUCGCGUGAUGUGGGAGUGGCAGACGAGGUAGUAACACGUGAGUACGCACCCCAUAGUCAGGAAUAGCCUAUCGAAAGAUAGGGUAAUACUUGAUGGUCCCCGCCUUUGGCGGGGUAAAGAUUUAUCGCUAUGGGAGCGGCUUGCGGCAUAUCAGCUUGUUGGUGGGGUAACGGCCCACCAAGGCGAUGACGUGUAGGGGAGGUGAGAGCCUGACCCCCACCGAUAGCACUGAGACACGGGCUAUACACCUACGGGUGGCAGCAGCCGAGAAUAUUCCGCAAUGGACGAAAGUCUGACGGAGCGACGUCGCGUGGUGGAUGAAGUCCUUAGGGACGUAAACACCUUUUAUGAGGGAGAACGUGACAUUUAUGUCACACGAUAGUACCUCAUGAAUAAGGGGUUGCUAACUCUGUGCCAGCAGCAGCGGUAAUACAGAGACCCCAAGUGUUAUCCGGAAUCAUUGGGCGUAAAGGGUGUGUAGGUGGUGGUGUUAGUCUCCUGUUAAAACUCCCGGCCUAACCGGGAAUCUGCGGGAGAAACGGCACCGCUGGAGCGUGCGAGAGGUGUACGGAACUCAUGGUGUAGGGGUGAAAUCCGUUAAUAUCAUGGGGAACACCAAAGGCGAAGGCAGUACACUGGCGCACCGCUGACACUGAAACACGAAAGCGUGGGAAGUGAAGAGGAUUAGAUACCCUCGUAAUCCACGCCCUAAACGAUGAUAACUGGCUUUUCGGAGUAUCGACCCUCUGAGAGGCGAAGCUAACGCGUUAAGUUAUCCGCCUGGGAAGUACGGCCGCAAGGCUAAAACUCAAAGGAAUAGACGGGGACUCGCACAAGCGGUGGAUCAUGUGGUUUAAUUCGAUUUUAAACGAAGAACCUCACCAGGGCUAGACAUCCAGACGAAUCUUCUCCGAAAGGAGUUGAGUCUCACAAGGACGGCUGGACAGGUGUUGCAUGGCUGUCGUCAGUUCGUGGUUUGAAUUGUUCCCUUAAGUGGGGUAACGAACGCAACCCGUGUCGUGUGUUACAAGUGUNNNNNNNNNNNNNNNNNNNNNNNNNNAAGUAUGAAACAAUAUUAAAGCACCCAAUAAGAAAUCUAAAAAAGACUCCUUUUAGGAUUUCUCUUUUUGGGGCAUUAAAAUUUGUUUCGUGCUUAGAGAUUAAUACUUCAUGCUUCACUUUGCUCGCCUCAUGAGCAAAGUGCUGGGAGGAAGCGCGGAUGACGCCAAGUCAGCAUGACCCUCUGAUGCCCUGGGCUACACACAUGAUACAAUCGCCGGUACAACGGGAAGCAAUGCCGUAAGGCGGAGCCAAUCCUUAGAAAGCCGGCGCCAGUUCGGAUUGGGGUCUGCAACUCGACCCCAUGAAGCCGGAAUCGCUAGUAAUCGCAGGUCAGCUAUACUGCGGUGAAUACGUUCUCGAGUCUUGUACUCACUGCCCGUCAAACCAGGGAAGCCGGGAGCACCUCAAGAUCGAUGUAUGUCGGUCCAGGGUGAGCUUGGUAACAAGGGUUAAGUCGUAACAAGGCACGGCUAGCGGAAGCUG
RNAcentral lists this ribosomal RNA (1734 nucleotides) under Candidatus Vogelbacteria bacterium CG10_big_fil_rev_8_21_14_0_10_51_16. RNAcentral's name for it is "bacterial SSU rRNA". It matches the Rfam family "Bacterial small subunit ribosomal RNA". The record is from RNAcentral. Lineage: Bacteria; Candidatus Vogeliibacteriota.